RNAcentral lists this ribosomal RNA (587 nucleotides) under Saccharomyces cerevisiae (brewer's yeast). RNAcentral's name for it is "partial large subunit ribosomal RNA". It matches the Rfam family "Eukaryotic large subunit ribosomal RNA", at positions 66 to 668 of the family's 3401-position model. Lineage: Eukaryota; Fungi; Ascomycota; Saccharomycetes; Saccharomycetales; Saccharomycetaceae. The record is from RNAcentral.
CCACGGGGUAUGCUUAGUACGGCGAGUGAGCGGCAAAAGCUCAAAUUUGAAAUCUGGUACCUUCGGUGCCCGAGUUGUAAUUUGGAGAGGGCAACUUUGGGGCCGUUCCUUGUCUAUGUUCCUUGGAACAGGACGUCAUAGAGGGUGAGAAUCCCGUGUGGCGAGGAGUGCGGUUCUUUGUAAAGUGCCUUCGAAGAGUCGAGUUGUUUGGGAAUGCAGCUCUAAGUGGGUGGUAAAUUCCAUCUAAAGCUAAAUAUUGGCGAGAGACCGAUAGCGAACAAGUACAGUGAUGGAAAGAUGAAAAGAACUUUGAAAAGAGAGUGAAAAAGUACGUGAAAUUGUUGAAAGGGAAGGGCAUUUGAUCAGACAUGGUGUUUUGUGCCCUCUGCUCCUUGUGGGUAGGGGAAUCUCGCAUUUCACUGGGCCAGCAUCAGUUUUGGUGGCAGGAUAAAUCCAUAGGAAUGUAGCUUGCCUCGGUAAGUAUUAUAGCCUGUGGGAAUACUGCCAGCUGGGACUGAGGACUGCGACGUAAGUCAAGGAUGCUGGCAUAAUGGUUAUAUGCCGCCCGUCUUGAACCCCCGGGACCA